Molecule: long non-coding RNA, 670 nt
Filed under: Dermacentor andersoni
Lineage: Eukaryota; Metazoa; Arthropoda; Arachnida; Ixodida; Ixodidae
Description: uncharacterized LOC126539745
Source: RNAcentral
CUUCAGUGGACUUGGAAGCAACGAACGAGCACGGAUGCUGAUCAAAUUUUUUCUGAUCGCACAGGCGAUCUUUGGAAACUUCAGUGAUACCUGACGACUGGCGAAGGGCCAAAGUAAUACCUGUGCACAAAUCUGGCUCUAAACUCGACCGCCCGUCUCGUGCUUCUGAAAAGAGCUUGCGGUAUUGGCGUGAACAGACAGGCAAGUGGACGUAUUUAUUCUACAGUUAUUGAACAGUUACUUAUCGAUACAUCUUGAAGUUAGCCUACAAGCUGUCGUUAAAAGUUCCGUCUUUCAGUAAUCCUUGUGCAGCGUACUCUCAGCUCAAUACGAAAUUCUUGACUGCGUUCUCGAGUUUCGUUUAAUGGUAAUGAGAAGGAGUUAGAUAAUGCACAGAGGCAAGGUUUUGUCUGGUCUUGCAGGAGUCCCAGGUGCUUUUUCCGCCGCGUACACUGUCGCAAUCGUUACACGUCUGAGGAACCAGACUGGCGGCGCAUAGGUAAAGCCGGCUGCCACUGCAAGCCGCAGUCGCCUACAUUGUCGCUAUAAAGAGGAAAUUUGUACGUGUACUAAGUGUACGCAACGUUUCUUUGUUUAGUAUAAUUUGGCGGUGCCUCCAGCAGACAAAAUGUGGAUCCCGUACUGCUCCGUCGGUUUGGGCUCGGCAAUG